RNAcentral lists this ribosomal RNA (497 nucleotides) under uncultured bacterium. RNAcentral's name for it is "partial 16S ribosomal RNA". It matches the Rfam family "Bacterial small subunit ribosomal RNA", at positions 28 to 507 of the family's 1533-position model. The record is from RNAcentral.
GAUGAACGCUGGCGGCGUGCCUAAUACAUGCAAGUCGAGCGAACAGACGAGGAGCUUGCUCCUCUGACGUUAGCGGCGGACGGGUGAGUAACACGUGGAUAACCUACCUAUAAGACUGGGAUAACUUCGGGAAACCGGAGCUAAUACCGGAUAAUAUAUUGAACCGCAUGGUUCAAUAGUGAAAGACGGUUUUGCUGUCACUUAUAGAUGGAUCCGCGCCGCAUUAGCUAGUUGGUAAGGUAACGGCUUACCAAGGCAACGAUGCGUAGCCGACCUGAGGGGGUGACCGGCCACACUGGAACUGGACCACGGUCCAGACUCCUACGGGAGGCAGCAGUAGGGAAUCUUCCGCAAUGGGCGAAAGCCUGACGGAGCAACGCCGCUUGAGUGAUGAAGUUCUUCGGAUCGUAAAACUCUGUUAUUAGGGAAGAACAAAUGUGUAAGUAACUAUGCACGUCUUGACGGUACCUAAUCAGAAAGCCACGGCUAACUACGUG